ACGCUCGACACCUAUGGGAGGCAGCAGUGGGGAAUAUUGCACAAUGGGGGAAACCCUGAUGCAGCGACGCCGCGUGAGCGAAGAAGUAUUUCGGUAUGUAAAGCUCUAUCAGCAGGGAAGAAACUGACGGUACCUGACUAAGAAGCACCGGCUAAAUACGUGCCACAGCCGCGGUAAUCUGAGCGGGCUGGCAAGGC
Molecule: ribosomal RNA, 197 nt
Filed under: uncultured bacterium
Lineage: Bacteria
Description: partial 16S ribosomal RNA
Rfam family: Bacterial small subunit ribosomal RNA
Source: RNAcentral